UACGUAGGCAGCAAGCGAUGUCCGGAAUUAUUGGGCGUAAAGCGCGCGCAGGCGGUUCCUUAAGUCUGAUGUGAAAGCCCACGGCUCAACCGUGGAGGGUCAUUGGAAACUGGGGAACUUGAGUGCAGAAGAGGAGAGCGGAAUUCCACGUGUAGCGGUGAAAUGCGUAGAGAUGUGGAGGAACACCAGUGGCGAAGGCGGCUCUCUGGUCUGUAACUGACGCUGAGGAGCGAAAGCGUGGGGAGCGAACAGG
RNAcentral lists this ribosomal RNA (253 nucleotides) under uncultured bacterium. RNAcentral describes it as "partial 16S ribosomal RNA". It matches the Rfam family "Bacterial small subunit ribosomal RNA", at positions 524 to 776 of the family's 1533-position model. The record is from RNAcentral.